Molecule: ribosomal RNA, 428 nt
Filed under: uncultured bacterium
Lineage: Bacteria
Description: partial 16S ribosomal RNA
Rfam family: Bacterial small subunit ribosomal RNA
Source: RNAcentral
GUGGGGAAUAUUGGGCAAUGGGCGCAAGCCUGACCCAGCAACGCCGCGUGAAGGAAGAAGGCUUUCGGGUUGUAAACUUCUUUUACCAGGGACGAAACAAAUGACGGUACCUGGUGAAUAAGCCACGGCUAACUACGUGCCAGCAGCCGCGGUAAUACGUAGGUGGCGAGCGUUAUCCGGAUUUAUUGGGUGUAAAGGGCGUGUAGGCGGGACAGCAAGUCAGAUGUGAAAACCAGAGGCUCAACCUCUGGCCUGCAUUUGAAACUGUUGUUCUUGAGUGUCGGAGAGGUAAUCGGAAUUCCGUGUGUAGCGGUGAAAUGCGUAGAUAUUAGGAGGAACACCAGUGGCGAAGGCGGCUUACUGGACUGUAACUGACGUUGAGGCUCGAAAGCGUGGGGAGCAAACAGGAUUAGAAACCCGGGUAGUCC